Molecule: non-coding RNA, 134 nt
Filed under: unclassified sequences
Description: Bacteriophage Diversity-Generating Retroelement RNA
Rfam family: Bacteriophage Diversity-Generating Retroelement RNA
Source: Rfam by way of RNAcentral
GCUCUGGCGCAAGCCAACCGCAGUGUCACCGGCGGCAAUGGUGGUCAGCCCGCCUACCCUGCUUCGGCAAACACAUUGCGCGGUCCGGUACAGCGGGGCGUAGGGAGCAUUGCUCUUCGAUACCCGCGACCGGC